This 255-nucleotide ribosomal RNA is filed under the name Duganella aquatilis. RNAcentral describes it as "partial 23S ribosomal RNA". It matches the Rfam family "Bacterial large subunit ribosomal RNA", at positions 460 to 720 of the family's 2925-position model. The record is from RNAcentral. RNAcentral also lists the same sequence under 1 other name. Lineage: Bacteria; Pseudomonadati; Pseudomonadota; Betaproteobacteria; Burkholderiales; Oxalobacteraceae.
CCAAGGCUAAAUACUCGUAAUCGACCGAUAGUGAACCAGUACCGUGAGGGAAAGGCGAAAAGAACCCCGGGAGGGGAGUGAAAUAGAUCCUGAAACCGUGUGCAUACAAACAGUAGGAGCCUCCUUGAGGGGUGACUGCGUACCUUUUGUAUAAUGGGUCAGCGACUUACAUUCAGUGGCAAGGUUAACCGAAUAGGGAAGCCGUAGAGAAAUCGAGUCCGAACAGGGCGAUAGUCGCUGGGUGUAGACCCGAAA